Molecule: long non-coding RNA, 418 nt
Organism: Pezoporus occidentalis (night parrot)
Lineage: Eukaryota; Metazoa; Chordata; Aves; Psittaciformes; Psittacidae
Exons: 3
Source: RefSeq, a predicted model, not a curated record
CUGUGCUGUGAACAUCUUCCCCAAGUACCUGCAAGGUCAGUGCGUGGGGAUGGUCAGACUGGUGCUCAAGACUCUCUACGGGCUCUCCGAGAGGCUCAAAAUGGCAAGAAAGAUCCUCACCCUGAUGCCAAAGAUCGUGGCGUGCCUGCAGGAUACUGACAGCGAUGCCGUGACCAUGGCCAUCCUUGUGCUCAACAACUUACUCCCGCUGCUGGAGGAGAAGACACUCGGCUUCCGUGCCCUUGCCAUUGCUCUCAAGCUCCGGUUGCUCUUUGACAAUGAGUCAGACACUGUGAGGCAGCUCUCCAUCUGCUUAUUCCAAUAGGUGAUGGGGCUUGUGACAGAUGCUGAAAAGAAGAAGAUGAAGAAGGAGGUGUGGGAGACCCUGGUGCCACUGCUCUUUCACCUGCAGUACCAG